Molecule: ribosomal RNA, 441 nt
Filed under: uncultured bacterium
Lineage: Bacteria
Description: bacterial SSU rRNA
Rfam family: Bacterial small subunit ribosomal RNA
Source: RNAcentral
GUACGGGAGGCAGCAGUGGGGAAUAUUGGACAAUGGGCGCAAGCCUGAUCCAGCCAUGCCGCAUGAGUGAUGAAGGCCUUCGGGUUGUAAAGCUCUUUUGGCGGGGACGAUGAUGACGGUACCCGCAGAAUAAGCCCCGGCAAACUUCGUGCCAGCAGCCGCGGUAAGACGAAGGGGGCAAGCGUUGUUCGGAAUUACUGGGCGUAAAGGGCGCGUAGGCGGUUCUUUAAGUCAGGCGUGAAAGCCCUGGGCUCAACCUGGGAGUGGCGCUUGAUACUGGGGGACUAGAGAGUGGGAGAGGUUGGUGGAAUUCCCAGUGUAGAGGUGAAAUUCGUAGAUAUUGGGAAGAACACCGGUGGCGAAGGCGGCCAACUGGACCAUUUCUGACGCUGAGGCGCGAAAGCGUGGGGAGCAAACAGGAUUAGAUACCCCAGUAGUCCU